RNAcentral lists this ribosomal RNA (433 nucleotides) under uncultured bacterium. RNAcentral's name for it is "partial 16S ribosomal RNA". It matches the Rfam family "Bacterial small subunit ribosomal RNA", at positions 29 to 507 of the family's 1533-position model. The record is from RNAcentral.
AACGAACGCUGGCGGCAUGCCUAACACAUGCAAGUCGAACGAGACCUUCGGGUCUAGUGGCGCACGGGUGCGUCACGCGUGGGAACCUGCCCUUAGGUUCGGAAUACCUCCCCGAAAGGGGUGCUAAUACCGGAUAAUGUCUUCGGCCCAAAGAUUUAUCGCCUUUGGAUGGGCCCGCGUUGGAUUAGCUAGUUGGUAGGGUAAAAGCCUACCAAGGCGACGAUCCAUAGCUGGUCUGAGAGGAUGAUCAGCAACACUGGGACUGAGACACGGCCCAGACUCCUACGGGAGGCAGCAGUGGGGAAUAUGGGACAAUGGGCGAAAGCCUGAGCCAGCAAGGCCGCGUGAGUGAUGAAGGCCUUAGGGUUGUAAAGCUCUUUUAACCGGGAUGAUAAUGACAGUACCGGGAGAAUAAGCGCCGGCUAACUCCGUG